UGACUCAGUAUUUCCUCUCUAGGGUGCCAGGGCAGGGCUGGGUGGACAGGCCCCCCCAACAAAUGUGAGAAGUAAACCGACAAGACUCAGCAAACUCAAGACUUGUCACUCAGUAGAGGAUUCCUGAAGUCUGACCCGGGAGGAAAAGGCACCCCAAGAGGUUGGCAGGAACUCUGUCUGUGUGUUGGCACGGAUGUACCACAAUUACCGAAGCUACCCACAGGCUCCUCUCAUUUCGGGUCCCUCGUGUCCUCGCUGAUCUAAAUGGAAAACAUCAGGACACCUUGCUUCCUGCCUGCUACCCCUGGACUCUUGCUCUCCAAGCAUCUGGAAGUGAAAGAAACAGUACUUUAGCUGUGCAUAAUGGAGCAUGCCUGCAAUUCCAGCGCCAUGGGAGUCUGAGGCAGAAGGAUUACAAGUUCAAGCCCAGCCUGAGCAGUUUAGUGACUUAGCAAGACCCUGAAACAAACAAACAAACAAACAAACAAACAAACAAACAAACAAAUAAAGUUGGGGAUGUAGCUCAGUAUCAAGGCUCUGGGUUCAGUUCCCAGUACAGAAAAAACAAAAUAAAACAAAC
Molecule: long non-coding RNA, 580 nt
Filed under: Chinchilla lanigera (long-tailed chinchilla)
Lineage: Eukaryota; Metazoa; Chordata; Mammalia; Rodentia; Chinchillidae
Description: lncRNA (ENSCLAG00000028444.1)
Source: RNAcentral